UUCUUUCCAAGAAAAAGGCAAGGCGAGAUGGGAACUAUCGGGGGCAGUUACCGUGUAAAACCGUCGAAAAGGCAUAUCAGUAGCUCAGGAUACUGCAUGGCAUAAACGGGGUUUUGACAGUCUAAAAUCACACACAUUCUUGAUAUCCAAGCAAAAGUAUGGAGGAAAGAUAGUGAAGUAUGUCAUGUCCCAUCGUAUCUGGAACGUGCCAGUCAGGUUACGAAGAAACCGGACAGGCCAGGUUGUACGUGCACUUGACUGUGUCCACAAUCACUGUGUCAAGUUACUGAAGUGUCAGUGGUGAGAAGGGACUCAAGGAGCUUAUUGAAGAUGCCCUGUUGAGAUUUUAGAGGGUGAUGGAGAUGAUAAUUAAGUAAUUCGCGUGAAAAGGAACUUAAACCUUACACUACAGAAACUUUUUGAUAAAAAUCAUGUCAACAACAUUUUCAUAAUGAAGAACUCAGACUGUCAGCAAAGGGUCACCACUACCAAGCGGGUUUUAAAACUUAUUCCAAACCUGGCGGAGUUCUUCAAAAAUCGACCAUGAAAAUCAUGUUUAAUAAGUUUAUUCUUAUUAUAUUCAUUGAUGAAGCUAUUUUCCUCUUAACUGGUAUAAUUAUGUGAUUUAAUGCGCCAUAUUUCUUAA
Dreissena polymorpha is the source of this 646-nucleotide long non-coding RNA. RefSeq lists it as uncharacterized. The transcript is spliced from 2 exons. Lineage: Eukaryota; Metazoa; Mollusca; Bivalvia; Myida; Dreissenidae. The record is from RefSeq and is a predicted model, not a curated record.